RNAcentral lists this microRNA (21 nucleotides) under Callorhinchus milii (elephant shark). Its description in RNAcentral is "eshark_NOVEL_221". Lineage: Eukaryota; Metazoa; Chordata; Chondrichthyes; Chimaeriformes; Callorhinchidae. The record is from RNAcentral.
UCGAUCGAUGCUGCGUGACCU